Molecule: unclassified non-coding RNA, 148 nt
Organism: Macaca fascicularis (crab-eating macaque)
Lineage: Eukaryota; Metazoa; Chordata; Mammalia; Primates; Cercopithecidae
Rfam family: Metazoan signal recognition particle RNA
About the family: The signal recognition particle (SRP) is a universally conserved ribonucleoprotein. It is involved in the co-translational targeting of proteins to membranes. The eukaryotic SRP consists of a 300-nucleotide 7S RNA and six proteins: SRPs 72, 68, 54, 19, 14, and 9.
Source: Ensembl
GCCGGGUGUGGUAGUGCACACCUGUAAUCCCAGCUACUUGGGAGGCUGAGGCAGGAGAAUUGCUUGAACCCAGGAGGCAGAGGUUGCAGGGAGCUGAGAUCGCGCCACUGUACUCCAGCCUGGGUGACAGAGCAACACUCUGUCUCAA